GGAGCCUCUUUAUGGGGUGACUGCGUACCUUUUGUAUAAUGGGUCAGCGACUUAUAUUCUGUAGCAAGGUUAACCGAAUAGGGGAGCCGAAGGGAAACCGAGUCUUAACUGGGCGUUAAGUUGCAGGGUAUAGACCCGAAACCCGGUGAUCUAGCCAUGGGCAGGUUGAAGGUUGGGUAACACUAACUGGAGGACCGAACCGACUAAUGUUGAAAAAUUAGCGGAUGACUUGUGGCUGGGGGUGAAAGGCCAAUCAAACCGGGAGAUAGCUGGUUCUCCCCGAAAGCUAUUUAGGUAGCGCCUCGUGAAUUCAUCUCCGGGGGUAGAGCACUGUUUCGGCAAGGGGGUCAUCCCGACUUACCAACCCGAUGCAAACUGCGAAUACCGGAGAAUGUUAUCACGGGAGACACACGGCGGGUGCUAACGUCCGUCGUGAAGAGGGAAACAACCCAGACCGCCAGCUAAGGUCCCAAAGUCAUGGUUAAGUGGGAAACGAUGUGGGAAGGCCCAGACAGCCAGGAUGUUGGCUUAGAAGCAGCCAUCAUUUAAAGAAAGCGUAAUAGCUCACUGGUCGAGUCGGCCUGCGCGGAAGAUGUAACGGGGCUAAACCAUG
RNAcentral lists this ribosomal RNA (613 nucleotides) under Escherichia coli. Its description in RNAcentral is "partial 23S ribosomal RNA". It matches the Rfam family "Bacterial large subunit ribosomal RNA", at positions 576 to 1191 of the family's 2925-position model. The record is from RNAcentral. Lineage: Bacteria; Pseudomonadati; Pseudomonadota; Gammaproteobacteria; Enterobacterales; Enterobacteriaceae.